UAGUUUAGGUAGAAAUAAAAACUAAAACAUAAAAAUACAUAACUAAGAACUAAAGCUGUUUUCUUUUUAUUUAGCAUCUUCGAAUGAACUUUGAACUUUAUAUAGUAUGUAUAUAAAGUAAUUUGAAACAAAGUUAUAGUUUCUGAUUUCUGAGGUAUAUGAGUUCCUGAGUUUGAUUUACAUAUAUGCACACGUUUAUAUGCAUAAAGUCUAAAAAUAAAAACUUAAAAUUAUAUAUAUUUUUAUUUAGUAUUAACUCUCUAAUUUUUCUUUGUGUAUGUGCCACGCCCAGAGCGGAUUGCGUACGCCGUACGCCCACCAGGACAGCAAAACGUACUUAAAAAAUAAUAUGUAAUUCAGACUCCAGAGAACGUUUUGCAGCCAGGCUAGCGCAGAGGCGGCAAAGCAAUGGGCGUGGUCCGCGGGGGCUGGCUGAGCGACUGUGUGUGACUGUGUGUGUGUGUGUGUGUGUAGGUGUGUGUUUCUUUAAAUUUAGUUUUAGUUGUUAGUUGUUAGUUUUAGUUUUUAGUUUAAUUUAUAUAGUAAACAUUUUGCCCAGUUUUGGGUCUUUUUUUCUCUCUUUGUUUUGUUGGUCUCCGAGGGCAACGACAGUUGCAACAGUAGUCAUAUCUUCGUCUUCUUCUUCUUCUUCUUCUUCUUCGGGCGAUCAUCUGGUUGUUCAUGAUCCUUUGGCGCGUAAACGUUUAUCAUCAUCUUCUUCAUUAUCAUCACUCAUUAUCAAUCACUCAUUGUUAGGCUUUAAAUUCAAGUUGUGGGGGGC
Molecule: long non-coding RNA, 781 nt
Organism: Drosophila arizonae
Lineage: Eukaryota; Metazoa; Arthropoda; Insecta; Diptera; Drosophilidae
Source: RefSeq, a predicted model, not a curated record